RNAcentral lists this ribosomal RNA (540 nucleotides) under uncultured bacterium. RNAcentral describes it as "bacterial SSU rRNA". It matches the Rfam family "Bacterial small subunit ribosomal RNA", at positions 138 to 676 of the family's 1533-position model. The record is from RNAcentral.
UGGGGAUAACCUUGCGAAAGUAAGACUAAUACCCAAUGACGUCUCUAGAAGACAUCUGAAGGAGAUUAAAGAUUUAUCGGUGAUGGAUGGGGAUGCGUCUGAUUAGCUUGUUGGCGGGGUAACGGCCCACCAAGGCGACGAUCAGUAGGGGUUCUGAGAGGAAGGUCCCCCACAUUGGAACUGAGACACGGUCCAAACUCCUACGGGAGGCAGCAGUGAGGAAUAUUGGUCAACGGACGAGAGUCUGAACCAGCCAAGUAGCGUGCAGGAUGACGGCCCUAUGGGUUGUAAACUGCUUUUAUAAGGGAAUAAAGUGAGAGUCGUGACUCUUUUUGCAUGUACCUUAUGAAUAAGGACCGGCUAAUUCCGUGCCAGCAGCCGCGGUAAUACGGAAGGUCCGGGCGUUAUCCGGAUUUAUUGGGUUUAAAGGGAGCGUAGGCCGGAGAUUAAGCGUGUUGUGAAAUGUAGAUGCUCAACAUCUGAACUGCAGCGCGAACUGGUUUCCUUGAGUACGCACAAAGUGGGCGGAAUUCGUGGUGU